Molecule: ribosomal RNA, 1519 nt
Filed under: termite gut metagenome
Description: bacterial LSU rRNA
Rfam family: Bacterial large subunit ribosomal RNA
Source: RNAcentral
CAAGGCAUCCGCUGAGGAAGGGGAAGGUGGAAGGGGAAAAGUAGUUGCCCCUUCCAGAAAAGCGAGCGUAAGCGAGCGAUCGGUGACGGCGUGCCUUUUGCAUAAUGAGCCUGCGAGUUACGGUAUCCAGCGAGGUUAAGCCGAUAGGUGAAGCCGAAGCGAAAGCGAGUCUGAAUAGGGCGGUAUAGUUGGAUGUCGUAGACCCGAAACCAGUCGAUCUAUCCAUGGGCAGGUUGAAGCGGCGGUAAGACGCCGUGGAGGACCGAACCGUUUGAGGUUGAAAACUCUUCGGAUGACCUGUGGAUAGGGGUGAAAGGCUAAUCAAGGCUGGUGAUAGCUGGUACUCCCCGAAAUGUAUUUAGGUACAGCCUCGGGAGUUAAACAUUGGGGGUAGAGCACUAUUAGGGCUAGGGGCCGUACAGGUUACUGAACUCUGAUAAACUCCGAAUACCAAUGCGAAUUUCCCGGGAGUGAGACUGCGGGUGAGAAGAUCCGUAGUCGAGAGGGUAAGAGCCCAGACCGUCAGCUAAGGUCCCAGAAUUCAUGCUAAGUGGUGAAGGAUGUGAAGAUGGAGAAACAGCCAGGAGGUUGGCUUAGAAGCAGCCAUCCUUUAAAGAUAGCGUAACAGCUCACUGGUCUAGCGUCUUUGCGCCGAAGAUAUAACGGGGCUAAGCAUGAUACCGAAGCUACGGAUUUGCGUUUUUUAGAACGUAAGUGGUAGGGGAGCAUUCCACUCAGCGACGAAGGAGUACUGUAAGGUAUGCUGGAGCGUGUGGAAGGGAGAAUGCAGGCAUGAGUAGCGAUAAUACGGGUGAAAAACCCGUACGCCGAAAGUCUAAGGUUUCCACCGGCAGGGUAAUCCGCGGUGGGUUAGUCGGCCCCUAAGACGAGCCCGAGAGGGGUAGUUGAUGGGAAACAGGUCAAUAGUCCGUACCGACGUAUGAUCGUUAAAACGAUGGGGUGACGGAGAAGGUUAGGCGAGCCGGUUAUUGGAUUCCGGUUUAAUGAUGUAGGGAGUGACUUAGGCAAAUCCGGGUCACAUUAAUCCUGAGGUCAGUAUACGAGGGGUGUAAGAACCCCGGAGUCGUUGAUACCCCGCUUCCAAGAAAAACCUCUAAGGAGAGCAUGCGUUGACCGUACCGCAAACCGACACAGGUAGACGGGAUGAGAAUUCUAAGGCGUUUGAGAUAACUCCGGUUAAGGAACUCGGCAAAUUGUCACCGUAACUUCGGGAGAAGGUGAGCCUAUUGUAAGUGAAGGGUGUACACCCGGAGCUGAAGUGGGUCGCAGAUGAGAGGCCCAGGCGACUGUUUAUCAAAAACAUAGCACUCUGCAAACUCGUAAGAGGAAGUAUAGGGUGUGACGCCUGCCCGGUGCUGGAAGGUUAAUAGGAGAUGUGCAAGCAUUGAAUUGAAGCCCCAGUAAACGGCGGCCGUAACUAUAACGGUCCUAAGGUAGCGAAAUUCCUUGUCAGGUAAGUUCUGACCUGCACGAAUGGCGUAACGAUCUGGGCACUGUC